AUUGAACGCUGGCGGCAGGCCUAACACAUGCAAGUCGAGCGGAUGAAGGGAGCUUGCUCCUGGAUUCAGCGGCGGACGGGUGAGUAAUGCCUAGGAAUCUGCCUGGUAGUGGAGGAUAACGUCCGGAAACGGGCGCUAAUACCGCAUACGUCCUGAGGGAGAAAGUGGGGGAUCUUCGGACCUCACGCUAUCAGAUGAGCCUAGGUCGGAUUAGCUAGUUGGUGGGGUAAAGGCCUACCAAGGCGACGAUCCGUAACUGGUCUGAGAGGAUGAUCAGUCACACUGGGACUGAGACACGGUCCAGACUCCUACGGGAGGCAGCAGUGGGGAAUAUUGGACAAUGGGCGAAAGCCUGAUCCAGCCAUGCCGCGUGUGUGAAGAAGGUCUUCGGAUUGUAAAGCACUUUAAGUUGGGAGGAAGGGCAGUAAGUUAAUACCUUGCUGUUUUGACGUUACCAACAGAAUAAGCACCGGCUAACUUCGUG
This 484-nucleotide ribosomal RNA is filed under the name uncultured bacterium. RNAcentral describes it as "partial 16S ribosomal RNA". It matches the Rfam family "Bacterial small subunit ribosomal RNA", at positions 30 to 507 of the family's 1533-position model. The record is from RNAcentral.